GUGCAUGCUUAGGCACACAUACUAAAGUUAGAAUGAUACAGAGAAGAUUAACAUGGCCCUUGUGCAAGGAAGAGAGACCAUCAAAUUGCAAUUAUAAGAAAUGAA
Acomys russatus (golden spiny mouse) is the source of this 105-nucleotide small nuclear RNA. Lineage: Eukaryota; Metazoa; Chordata; Mammalia; Rodentia; Muridae. The record is from RefSeq and is a predicted model, not a curated record.